CUGCAGCCCGAGUGGUGAUCGAUUUUAUUGGGCCUAAAGCGUCCGUAGCCGGUUCGGUAAAUCUCUGGGUAAAUCGUUGGGCUUAACUCAACGAAUUCUGGGGAGACUGCCGAACUUGGGACCGGGAGAGGUCGGAGGUACUCCAGGGGUAGGGGUGAAAUCCUGUAAUCCUUGGGGGACCACCGGUGGCGAAAGCGUCCGACCAGAACGGGUCCGACGGUAAGGGACGAAGCCCUGGGGCGCGAACCGGAUUAGAGACCCGUGUAGUCC
RNAcentral lists this ribosomal RNA (270 nucleotides) under uncultured archaeon. RNAcentral's name for it is "partial 16S ribosomal RNA". It matches the Rfam family "Archaeal small subunit ribosomal RNA", at positions 477 to 747 of the family's 1478-position model. The record is from RNAcentral.